CUGGCUCUCAGCCAGGUUAAGGGACAAAAUCCAGUGUGGGCGGAUGAAGAGAAAUUUGGUGCAAACCAAGACGCCUGGGAGAGCUUGAAAGCAGAUGCAAGUUCUCCCUAUUACAUGCUAUUAGCGACAUAUACGGACGACCCUGUAUGGGGCCGCGACUUUACUUGCCUGAAGGUUCAGGCAACGGAUGUGAACGAAGCAGAGAAGAGUAUUCAAGCUGUAAUUACAUAUAACCAUGAACAAGAAGCUAGCUACAAACAUCCAAUGAAAAAAUUUAUGCUUGAUUUUCUUCUUCGAUUACAAGAAGGCAAACGCCAUUACAUACAAGACGGAAGGUG
This is a long non-coding RNA of Rhipicephalus sanguineus (brown dog tick), 338 nucleotides long. RefSeq lists it as uncharacterized. NCBI's taxonomy places the organism in Eukaryota, Metazoa, Arthropoda, Arachnida, Ixodida, Ixodidae. The transcript has 3 exons. The record is from RefSeq and is a predicted model, not a curated record.